AAUACUAAUUUUAAUGCCUCGUUUGCAAAAUUUAGUUAUCAAGAUUACUCUUUCAGAUUCUGUAGAGUGAACCUGUGUUUCACAAAGUCUGACUGUGGAACUGGCAGCAACAGAAUCUUGGAAUUAAAAUAUGAAUCGGGAUCCUGAAGCCAACAGGACUUGCUAAAUGUUACACCUGUCGUUUAAAACAACAGCAAGCCAAGAAGGGAGGAGAGCUCAGUGUAGACGGGACGUGUACUCCUCCCACAGGGACCGUUCCGGUACCUCCCAUGAAUGAUCUCAUUUAAUACAACCACGAAAUGAGCAGCGUCGCUGCCCUCAUUUUCCAGAGAAGGACACGGGGGUGGAGAGCGCUGGAUGGCCUGGCUGGGGGCUCACAGCUGGGUGGGAGCAAUGACUUGACGCCAGAGCCCCGGCUGUAAGAGCAGCUGCCUAGUAUCACAAAGCGGGAGGGAUUUGGGAUUCUACGGCGAUGGAAUCCACCCUAAGCUCUUGCUGGUGUCAUAAACGUACCGGCACUCGUGCGGCCAGAGUCCUGUGUUAGGGAACUGGAUUCAGUUGAAUUUCAGCAGCGAGCGAUGCCACAGCAUCCUCACGGCCACACGUCAGCAUGUUCCUGAGAUGACGCAUCCAUCCUUCAAGCUAGAAACAACUUGCCUACAGAUUGGUUCUUGAUGUCUUAGACAAGGAAACGGAAGGUUUAUCAGACCUGCGCUCUAAAGAGAUUUUGGAUCGUUGUUGACAAGAUCAAUACCGAUUAUGUGGCUGUUUGGUGCAGACCUGACCCUUCAUUCCUCCUGAGUUGGGGGUGUGAUUGGCUACAGAGCCGAGAAGGGGAGCCUGGUGUUCCCAUGAGAAGUGCUGUCCCGCGGGCAUGGGCCGUACUGGGAGCUGCGUGGAGCUCGCGGGUCUCAGCUCCAUACUCUCUAUACAUAGAUAAGCUACGAUGGUAUAGAUGUAUUAAGAGGAUAAGUUAGUAUGUGCACACACGCACAUGCUGUUUAAAAAUUAACAAACCAGGCUAUAUUUCCAUUCCACAAUCUUAAAUCCCACCUCAAGUUUCUUCUCUAAGAAACAGAGGAAGUUAUUUUUCUAGUACUGUGCUCCUUGAGCUCACAGAAACUGACAUCAAACAAGCUUCAGUGUUAAGAGAUUAAAGUUUUCAAGUGUUCAGUACUUAGGUUAACUAAGGGAGAGGGGAUCGGAGUGUGUGGACGCCCUCCUUCAAAAACAGAGGAGAAUUCAGACUGUUCCCAGCCCUCAUCUUUAGGCAUCCUUCACUUUGGACGCUUUUCCAAGCUAAGAUACUGAUUUUUUUUUUUAAGUAAUAACUCACGUUAUUUUUAAGGGUUGAGAGGACAUCAUCACUAAGAUAAUGUAGGUUAAAUGAUAUGUAGUUUUACUGUUUUAACUAAAAUUUACUUUUAUGAUUUUUUUCUUCUUAGUAUUUGCUUUUCAUUUAUUUGUUUACUUUUAAACUUUUAGAUAAUUCUUUAAAGAUAAAUUGAUGGAUAGAUUUUCAGGAUAUCUUUAUAAGUAAAAGAAACACUCAUGAUAUUUGUAAAACAUAGAGGAUUUAUUUUCCAAAUAAUAAUGAACAGGGUAUAGCUUGCCUAGUUUUUCAUCUAUACUGCUUUCAAAUCAAGCGUUUUUUAUUUACUUUUUCUAAGACGGUUGGUUUUGAGUUGCCUAGUAGAUGCUCAUGUCACUUCAGACACAGUAUUUCCAGAAGCAUUCAGAGGGAGUUCCACGUUUCUUGUAUGGCUUCCUGAUUCUGGCUAAAAGGUGACUCAGUAAAAUGUUAGGAUCUUGUCCUGAAAAAGCCUGAAAUUAAAACAAUCCAAAUAAAAAAACAGGUUAUCAAUGAAUCGAGUCCUACACACACUAAUAGGAGCCUUAGUUCCUUUAAAAAGUGUUUUCUUGCUGUUUUAUUGGAUAGGAUUGUGGUGAUCGCCCAGCGUGUAGGUUCUGGAAGGUCUCCUUAUGCCCUACCUGUGGUGCAUCCAGUCUGUUUAGCCCUGUGAUGGCCGUGAAUUUUCCUAAACCCUCACUGGCCUAUUUCUGUUUAAAUCUGUCCGUGACGUGUUCUGUCCAUUUACUGUCUUCUCUGUAAAGGAGGCCUUUUAUUUGCCUUGAAAUUAACUUCUUUAAGCAUGGACCCUUACUUUUUUUUUCUGGGAUUUCAUGAGCACGUACUAAUCACCUUUGUGAUUUUAGAGUCUUUCAUCAUAACCCUUCUAUUCGGAACAAUAUAAACAUCUGAAUGAUAACGUUGAAUGUAGAAGCCAUCCCCGUCCCCUUCUGGAUGGUUUACCUGCCCUGGGGCCUCAGGUGAUGUAUGCCAUCUUCAGAAUUGAGGGAUUCCAGAGUAUAUUUUUAUAAGGAUGGUAAUGGGUGCUACACCAAAAAAAGGUGUCUCCAGUCAAAAUAUUUGGGAAAUGCUUGGUUAAAAUUAAAUACGCUUAUCUCAUUUCCUGGAGGCUUUAACAUGCUAAUAAUGUACAUAAAGAUAUUACCAGGACGGGAGAGGGGCCAGAACCCAGGGCAUCACUGUAGGCUGGCUCGUGGGACUGGUAUACCUGGAAAGCCCUUUAGGAGACACUAAUGUAGAGUUUGAGGGGUUGAUAAUGAUGAAAUACAGAUUUUUCUUUUAGUGUUUAAGGUCCUCCAUUAACUGUGCACCAUUUCUAACCAUUUAAUAUUGUCGUUCAUCAGUCCCAAUCACAGUCUGUCUUCUGCACCCAAAACGAUUUCCUUCACAUUCUGCUCUAUCACACAUAUGACAUCUCAGGGUUUUGACCGUGUCUUUCUUCUAUUUAGACAUCAUCUGGCAGUGCUUGUCAUACUUUAUUUAACGUGCGUAAGAAUCACCUGGGGAAUCUUGGUGAGAUGCAGCUUUUGAUUCAGUAGGUGCUGGGGGGCGGGGGCUGAGAGCCUGCAUUUCUCACAAGCUUCCACAUGACACCAGUCCUGCUGGCCCUCGGACCACGCGAAGAUGAUCAAUGACACAGCACAAGUGGAUGACAAACUUGAGGGCAUCUUAAGCUCAUUACAAUAAUUUAUCCAAAAUGGACACUGGAUAAGUUCUCGUUGCGUCCACACUUAUAUGGAUCAAACUUUGGAACAUGCUUUGAAGUAAUACGGACUGACCAGUUAUUCUAAGGUGUGAUUUCUACCGAAAAUGCUCGACUGGUUCAUGAAUUGAGGCUCCUCCAAAGUCACGGCAUAGCAUGCUCACUUUUGUAACGUGAUUCUCAUGGUGGAGCUACUUACCUUUCUCACACUUCGUCUUGGGUAAAAAAUGUUGGUACCGAGAUCUGGAAAACAGUAUUUUGAAACCAUUCGUCAUCAGAUCUAUUAUUUCCAUUUUACACUUGUCUUAUUUAAAACGCACAAAAUAGAAUAUUCCUAAAUC
Molecule: long non-coding RNA, 3415 nt
Filed under: Phocoena sinus (vaquita)
Lineage: Eukaryota; Metazoa; Chordata; Mammalia; Artiodactyla; Phocoenidae
Description: lncRNA (ENSPSNG00000007290.1)
Source: RNAcentral